This is a long non-coding RNA of Alligator sinensis (Chinese alligator), 696 nucleotides long. RefSeq lists it as uncharacterized. The transcript has 5 exons. The record is from RefSeq and is a predicted model, not a curated record. Lineage: Eukaryota; Metazoa; Chordata; Crocodylia; Alligatoridae.
UUAUUGUUCGCUGGCAUUAUGUAACCUUGUAGCAUUUUAUUCCAUUUUGGUGUGGCGAGCGCUGGUUCUGCGUCUGGCUGCUGGCUGCUGGGGCUGUCUGUGUGAAUCAGAGCUAUGGCCCUCAGAACAUUUUGACAAUAGAGGCUCAAUGAGGAUAAAGACAAUCAUUGUCUUCCCACCCAGUGACAGGAGAAACACAUUGCUUACAGCAGGACCUGUGCCAAGUAAAAGAGCACUAUGCAGUCAGUCAAGGAGUAAGAGUACCCGCUGGCUCUGGCAUAGUGGCUGCUGUGAUAUUCAGCAAGCCAUUCUUCACUGCAGUCAACCCUAGCCAAGUCAUGGCAAAGAACACAGAACCAGAAGAAAGUUAUUGCAACAAAGUUGUGGUCAAGAUGGAUGCGUCCAGAGAAGGUUUGGGAGCAGUGCUAUCAAAAGCAGCUGAAGGGCUGGAGUGACCGGUUGGCUACACCAGCUGAAAGCCGAAUGACCAUGAGCAGAAGUACUCCAUGGUAGCUUGGGGAUGCUUGGCCAUACGGUAUGCCUCUAAUAUUCCAUGAAAGAAUGGGAAAGAAACCACAAAGAUGACUGGAAUACACAGACCUAAAACACAUGUGUCUGCAUGUCUGCAGCAGGGAAUCUGGCCAGCUCUCAGCAGCCGCCUUUCCUCUAAGAAUUGCAGACUGAAGCAAAUUCCCA